Perca fluviatilis (European perch) is the source of this 1033-nucleotide long non-coding RNA. RefSeq lists it as uncharacterized. NCBI's taxonomy places the organism in Eukaryota, Metazoa, Chordata, Actinopteri, Perciformes, Percidae. The transcript has 2 exons. The record is from RefSeq and is a predicted model, not a curated record.
ACCAUUCAUGUGGGAACCAGCUGUAACAGAAUAUUGAAGCUCCGUGCAACAGAGGGAAGGAGAAAAAGAAGGUUAUCAGACGCAACCAUCGAAUGCUGCAGGAGGAGGUUUAGCUCGACCGUGGUGCACAGUAACAAGGUGCUGUGCACGAAACAAGUUAAGAAAAAGACAGCGGAUGUUCGGUCAUGACAUGCAGGAGGAAUUAACGCGCAAAUUAGAAGAGAAUCCCUACAGGAGCCGAAAUCUUGAUCACGAUUAAAAUUUCGAUUAACUGCACAGCCCUACUGGAGCCGGUGUAGUGAGCGGAGAAGAGGAACGGUGUGGGAGAACUCCAGACAGGAAGCAGUAUUCUGGACUAACGCUGCGUUCCUGUCCGAGUCGCAGGUUGGAAUUUCCCGGUUGAAACGUCCCAACUUCAGGACCUAAUUUCCUAGGAGCCACUGAGAAUUUCUAUUGUCAUAGCCCCUGAAAGUAAGGAUGCACCAAUCAGACAUAGAUACCUCAACUGCAGAUGUCUUUUAGUAUUGAGCACCGAUCUGAUACCAGUUCACUCAAAUGUUCCCCAAUUUAAAAUCUGUACACCUCACUGUGUGGAAUUCAUUUCUUUAUUCUUUUUAAUGUGAGGUAACAUUAGGCCAAGGAUAACUCUGACCCCCGCCAUCACUGUCUGAAUGUACGGUGUGUGUCCGCGGUACUGGAUCGCUGCUUCCCCUAUCUGAAAGUCCCCCAAAACAUGAAGCAGAAGUUUAUUGGCUAAAUAAAUCAGCGUGAGCUGUCAAGGCUGACACCGGAAAAUUAUGCAAGAUCAUGCAGCAAUAACCUUAACGGACUGUGAGAAAAGCGUUCAGGGCAUUUUCACAGCCUACAUCUAGGUGUUGCAUCAACAUAUAACUCCCAUAUUAUGACUGUAAACGGCAUCAAAGUCCAGAAAAGUGACCCUCUAAAGUCAUGUCUUUUAAGAAGUUGUAACAACAAAAUUAGAGCCGCAAAGAUUAUGCAACUAGUUGUCAACUAAUAAAUUAAUGGCAAAAUA